This 22-nucleotide microRNA is filed under the name Gallid alphaherpesvirus 1. Its description in RNAcentral is "iltv-miR-I1-5p". Its record names the gene iltv-miR-I1-5p. The record is from miRBase by way of RNAcentral. Lineage: Duplodnaviria; Heunggongvirae; Peploviricota; Herviviricetes; Herpesvirales; Orthoherpesviridae.
AGACUGAUUGGGGAAUGAUUGG